GGGUCUGCGUUCUAUUAGCUAGUUGGUGGGGUAAAGGCCUACCAGGGCGACGAUGGGUAGCUGGUCUGAGAGGAUGAUCACCCACACUGGAACUGGAACACGGUCCAGACUCCUACGGGAGGCAGCAGUGGGGAAUAUUGGGCAAUGGGGGCAACCCUGACCCAGCAACGCCGUGUGAGGAAGAAGGUUUUCGGAUCGUAAACCUCUGUCAGGAGGGAAGAAGUGCAUGCCAAGUAAUAUGUGGCAUGUUUGACGGUACCUCCAAAGGAAGCACCGGCUAACUCCGUGCCAGCAGCCGCGGGUAAUACGGAGGGUGCGAGCGUUAUUCGGAAUUACUGGGCGUAAAGCGCGCGUAGGCGGCGCGGCAAGUCAGAUGUGAAAGCCCCGGGCUCAACCUGGGAAUUGCAUUUGAAACUGCCGUGCUUGAGUAAGGUAGAGGGUGGCGGAAUUCCCGGUGUAGGAGUGAAAUCCGUAGAUAUCGGGAGGAACACCAGUGGCGAAGGCGGCCACCUGGGCCUUUACUGACGCUGAGGUGCGAAAGCGUGGGUAGCAAACAGGAUUAGAUACCCUGGUAGUCCACGCUGUAAACGAUGGACACUAGGUGCCGGGC
RNAcentral lists this ribosomal RNA (610 nucleotides) under uncultured delta proteobacterium. Its description in RNAcentral is "bacterial SSU rRNA". It matches the Rfam family "Bacterial small subunit ribosomal RNA", at positions 227 to 828 of the family's 1533-position model. Lineage: Bacteria; Deltaproteobacteria. The record is from RNAcentral.